This 245-nucleotide unclassified non-coding RNA is filed under the name Hevea brasiliensis (rubber tree). Lineage: Eukaryota; Viridiplantae; Streptophyta; Magnoliopsida; Malpighiales; Euphorbiaceae. The record is from RNAcentral.
AGUGAGUAGAACUCUUCGCUUCUUGUAUCGCCCUUGAACGAUCGGAACUUGUCCCACCAGUGUUUGCCCCGGUCUUUCCUGAUAGCGCCAUCCUUUUUAUGCAGCGUGUUAUCGAGAAAGUAUGCCACGAUUCCAGCAACGAAUGGCUCUGAAGAGAACGGAACAUUGACCAUGUCGUUGAACCAUCUUGCUCUUGUGUGGACUGGACCAAAGCCAUUAAUGGCUGUGUACUCGUUGAAGUAUUG